Molecule: transfer RNA, 69 nt
Filed under: Liolaemus nigroviridis campanae
Lineage: Eukaryota; Metazoa; Chordata; Lepidosauria; Squamata
Description: tRNA-Trp
Rfam family: tRNA
About the family: Transfer RNA (tRNA) molecules are approximately 80 nucleotides in length. Their secondary structure includes four short double-helical elements and three loops (D, anti-codon, and T loops).
Source: RNAcentral
AGGAGUUUAGGAUACUCAAACCAUAGACCUUCAAAGUCUAAAAAAAAGGUGCAAACCCUCUAACUCCUG